This 481-nucleotide ribosomal RNA is filed under the name uncultured bacterium. RNAcentral's name for it is "partial 16S ribosomal RNA". It matches the Rfam family "Bacterial small subunit ribosomal RNA", at positions 28 to 507 of the family's 1533-position model. The record is from RNAcentral.
GACGAACGCUGGCGGCGUGCUUAACACAUGCAAGUCGAACGGGAUCCGGGCUUUCGGGUUUGGUGAGAGUGGCAAACGGGUGAGUAACACGUGAGUAACCUGCCCCCUUCUUUGGGAUAACGUCGGGAAAUCGGCGCUAAUACUGGAUAUUCUUGCUGCAUCGCAUGGUGUGGUUUGGAAAGGGUUUCUGGUGGGGGAUGGGCUCGCGGCCUAUCAGCUUGUUGGUGGGGUGAUGGCCUACCAAGGCUUUGACGGGUAGCCGGCCUGAGAGGGUGUCCGGCCACACUGGGACUGAGACACGGCCCAGACUCCUACGGGAGGCAGCAGUGGGGAAUAUUGCACAAUGGGCGCAAGCCUGAUGCAGCGACGCCGCGUGAGGGAUGACGGCCUUCGGGUUGUAAACCUCUUUCAGUAUGGAACAAGGAUCCUUCUUUUGGGGGGUUUGAGGGUACGUGCAGAAGAAGCGCCGGCUAACUACGUG